Molecule: long non-coding RNA, 7235 nt
Filed under: Zostera marina
Lineage: Eukaryota; Viridiplantae; Streptophyta; Magnoliopsida; Alismatales; Zosteraceae
Description: long non-coding RNA (ZMAR_LNC001379)
Source: RNAcentral
UAGGAUAUCAUCAACGUAAAAGGAAACAUUACGCCCGAUCUGGUCUGCGAAAACCUUGUCCAUUAAGCGUUGGAAUGUAGCCCCUGUAAAGAAUUACAGCGGAGAAGAUUUUAGCGGAGAAUGUCGACAGAGAAGACAGUCGACGGAAGAGUAUCAAGAACAAGGAGUCGAUGCUUGAAGAAGAAGAAGAAGAAAUUAGGUUAAAAUAAUUGGGGACAAUUAUUUCAAAAAGAAGAAGAAAGAACUUUUCUUGUUAUAAUAUAAAAUAAAACCUUACACUUAUUUAGACAAUUAUAAUUGGUAUAUUUUCAAAUUAUACCCUAUCUAUAUGUUUAACUAUAAGAGUAAAGUUUUACUCUUUACAUUUCCCCACAAAUUGAUAACUCAUAACUGUAAAUUGAGUUAACAAUUUGAAAAAAAAACUUCAACCACUCAUAACUUCAACCAAUUGUUUGUUUGGUCUUUUGCUUUUAUUAUUCUCAAAGAAGAUACAUCACUUUUUAUGUGAGACCAUGAUUGCAGUUUUUAACUGGUUGCCAAUUAAUUGAGUUGAUGAUAGGGGUAAAAAAACCCAGGUGGGAGAUCUUUGCUCCUCUUUUAAAAUUUUGCAGUCUUUCCCGUCUUUCUCUAGGAAAAACCCAUUCCAUCAAACCAAUUAACUAGUUCAUCCAAGUUUUACUAACAAACCAAGUUUAUACCCUUGUUUUCUCCAUCCUUCAAUUCUGAUUUUUAUUAUUCUCUCCAUGAUGAUUAGAAUCGGAACAUAGACUCUUUGUUAAUAGAAUUGUCUGCAAACAAUAAAAACAUUCAUCCCGCAAUUAAAUCUAAACAUAGUGAACUGUUUCCAUGAAAUUGCUGAAAAUUUAUCCUGCAAUCAAAUCUGAAUAUAAUUGAACUGCUUCCAUGAAAUUGUUGAAAAUUCAUCCUUUCUGUAUUUAUCAAACAUACCUUUCACAUAACAAGCAUAUCAUAUACAGAUAGUUGGUAUAUUAAUCAAACCAAGCAAUCAAACAACAAAAAAUGCAAGCAACAAACAUGUAAUUUGUAUAUUCCUUUAUUUGAACACAACUCUAAAAAAAACUAGACUCAUACAAACAACAAAACAAUUUAUUAAUUUAUUAUUAUUACUAUUAUUUCUAUUUUCUUAAGGAUUAAUCAUUAACCCUUUCCAAAUGUAUUACUGUUGUGUUUUUUUUUUAAUAACUCUUUGAAAUAUGUUGAAACUAGUUUAUGUCUUAUUUUAUGUUUCUCAAAUAGGUCACUACUUAAGAUUUUUGUGAACCCAUCAGCUAGUUGAAGGGUUGAUGGAAUAUACUUAAGUUUUACAACUCCUUUGGCAAUUAAUUCCUUUAUAAAAUACAAUGAGAUGUCUAGAACCAGGUGUGGUUGUUGGAUUUUCAGCUAUAAAUAUAGCUGAUUUAUUGUCACAGUAUAUUGUUGGUGAAUCUUCAAAUCUUAUCUCAAGCUCUCUAAACAGAUUGCAUAAAUUUUUAAUUUCACUCAUGAUGGCAGUAAGUACUCUAUACCUGAUUCACAACUAGACUUAGCUACUUCACUUUGUUUCCUUGUUGACCAGACUACUAGGUUUCCCGAAAACCAAAUGCUAAGACCUGUUAUAGAUUUCCUGUCUCCUGGUUCACCACCCCAAUCAGAAGCACAAUAUCCAGUUAUGGUUAACUUCUCAUUGUUUGAUGGGGUAAAUCUUAGUCCCAAGUUUUGAGUUCCUUUUAAGUAUCUCAAGACUCUUUUUGCUGCUUGUAAAUGCAAAUCAGUUGGAACUUGCAUGUAUUGACUUAAUUGAUUCACAUAAAAGGUAAUGUCAGGUCUGGUUAAAUUUAGGUAUUGAAGAGACCCAAUUAUGCUUCUAUAAAUUGUUGGUUCCUCCAAUUCUUCUCCUUCACUUUUACUUAACUUUGGUAGUCUUUUCAUUGGAGUUUUGUUAGGUGUGGAUUCAUCCAUUCCAAAUUUAACUAAGAUUUCAGGCAAGUACCUCCUCUGAGAUAAUACUAUAGAAUCUCCUUGUCUUAUGCAUUCCAACCCAAGGAAAAAAUUUAAUUCCCCUAGAUCUCUGCAUUGAAACUUCUUACACACUAAUUCCACACAAUUUUUGACUUCACUCUCACAAUCACCAGUAACUACAAUAUCAUCUACAUAUACAAGCAUAUAAACUUUGAAUGAUUCACUUAUUCUUAAAAAUAAUGAUGGAUCUGUCUUACUGUUCUCAAAUCCAUUGUUUACUAAGAAUAAAUGUAAAUUGGAAUACCAAGCUCUAGGAGCUUGUUUAAGUCCAUAUAAAGCUUUAUGUAGCAGACAAACUUCAUUUGGUUUGUUUUUAUCUGAGAAGCCUACAGGUUGCUUCAUGUAAACAGUUUCAGAUAGAUAACCAUUCAAGAAUGCAUUUUUUACAUCCAGUUGUUUAAGUUUCCACUUGUUCCUAACAUCCAAGGCUAGAAUAGUUCUAACAGUAGUAAUUUUCACUACUGGACUAUAUGUAGCAUUAAAAUCAAUUCCCUCUUCUUGAUUGAAACCCUUAAUUACUAAUCUAGCCUUAUACCUUUCUAUUGUACCAUCAGACUUUCUUUUUAUCUUGUAUACCCAUUUAUUCCCUGUUAGGUUCAUAUUUGGCUCAUAAGGUACUAGAGACCAGGUUUUGUUUGAUUCUAACACAUCUAACUCCUCUCUCAUUGCUAUUUUCCAUUUUUCCUCUUUAUUGGCCUGGCCAAAUGAAGUGGGUUCAGUUUCUCCAUACACAGUUUGAUAGCAUACAAAAUCAUUCAAAUUGGCUGGUUUUCUAAUGUUUCUACCAGAGGAUAUUUUUACAAGACCAGUUUCUUUAAUUUUAUUCUCUUUUGUUAUUUCUUUAGUGGUUUUUGUUCUCAAGUUUUUAUUCUCAGGUUCUGAUGUGUUAUUAGUUUCUGAUAUUUCUAAUAUACUUUCAGAAACUUUCCUUAAAUCUUUACCUGUUGGUUCUGAUAUUGAGAUUGCAGAGUCUACUUUUGAAGUAUCUUUUGUAAUUUCUCCAUUUUCUUUUGUAUGUUUAGCAUUUUUUGAAGUUAUUGUUAUAGAUUUAAUUUUAUCUAAUGAUGAACUCAAACUAGAACUUGAAUUUUCAACUCCUCCUAAACUCUCUUCUAUUGAUUUUGUAGUUUUAGUUAUUACUCAGUGUUCACUAUCCAGGUUUCCUUUUCCAUUUUCUUUAGGUCCGGAUUCAGAGAUUCUGAGUUUAUCCAUCAUCGAGGUUAGAUGUUUAAUAUCAACUUUCACAGAUUUUUCCUUUUUAGGAAGAUCUUGGGUUAAUACAGGAAGAGUAAUAUUCUGAUCUUUACCUUGAGUUAUUAUAGGUAAAGUAAUGGUUUGAUCUUGAGCUCCAUAUUUUUUUUAUUGAUUACUGAAUUUGGUAAGAUAAUUGGAAAAUCAGGAUCUGAGUCCAUAUCUUUUUUAAGUUUAGUGUUAGGAAAGGGUAUUCAGAUUCAUCAAAUUUCACAUUUCUGGAAAUCCAAGAUUUCUUUUUCUCUAAGUUAAAGCAAAUAUAACCUUUGUAAUUGUUAGAAUAUCCAAGGAAUACACAUUUACUUGUUUUAGGUUCAAAUUUGUUUCUAAACUUGUUGUGAAUGAGAGGGUAGCAAGAACAACCAAAACAUUUUAAGAAAUUUCUUUCUGGUAUUUUUCCAAACAUAGCUUGAUGAGGUGAAAUUCCUCCAAGGACAGAACUUGUCAUUCUAUUUAUUAAAAAAACUGAAGUUAAGAUAACCACUGGCCAGAAUUUAUAAGGUACAACAGAUUUUGCAAAUAAACAUCUUGAAGUUUCAAGUAUAUGUUUGUCUUCUUUCGACCACCCUAUUUUGUUGAGAUGUAUUGGGACAAGAGAUUCUAUGCCUAAUUCCUUUCUCUUCUAGGAAUUUAUUUAUCCUAUUGUUUUUAAAUUCACCACCUCCAUCGCUUUGAAUUACUUUUAUUUAUUUUUUAUCAUAUUGAUUUUCAAUCACUUUUACAAAUUUUGUAAACUUUUCAUAAAAAUCAGAUUUAUAAACUAGGGGUAUUACCCAAGUAAACCUAGAGAAAUCAUCCACAAUAGUAGCAAAGUAUUUAAAACCAUAGAGUGAUUUAUCAGGAGUUGGACCCCAAAGAUCAAUAUGUAUUAUUUCUAGAAUUUGUUUAGAAUUUAUUACAACUUUCCUAAAAGAUAAUUGUUAUAAUUUGCCCAAAGGGCAACAUUUACAAAAUUUAAAACUAAGAUCAUUUUUAUUCAGAUGCAGAUCAGGUGUCAUUUCCUUUACAACCUUCAUUGAUGGAUGACCUAAUCUGUAAUGCCAAAGAUCCGUCUUUGUGAGUUCAGCUGUUAAUGCCUUUACCAUUUCCAGUUUUGAUUUGAAGUGGAAGAGUCCUUGUUUGCUAUUCCCAAAGCAUAAAAUUUCUUUGGUCUUCAAAUCCUUAAUAAUAAAACCAGAAAGUAAGAAUUUUACACUACAUUCUAAAUCAGUACAUAAUUUGGGGGCAGAUAUCAGAUUUUUUCUAAGUUUAGGAAUGUAUAGAACAUGAUUUAAUGUGUAAGUUCUAUUAUUUAGAAUAAAUCUCAUUUUACUAAUUUUAUCAAUUCUAAGUUGUUCCCCAUUUCCCACAAUAACACCAUUUGUACUUGUGUAAUCCUUAUAUUCCACAAAGGCAGAAUCAUCCGAAGUCAUAUGAUUUGUAGCUCCAGAGUCUAAGCACUAGUUGAUAUUUCCCACUGUCACAGAGUUUGCCUGAAUGUCUUCAUCAGUAUUUGGAAGUUCAGCUGAAUAGGCUGCAAAAUUUCCUCUUUCAGGACAAUAUCUAGCCAAGUGGCCCAUUUUAUCACAUAUUUGACAGCCAACCGAGGUAUCGAGUGAAGGAGGAACUGUCAAGAGUGGAGGUUUAUCAGUUUUAGGUAACGGUUUAGGGAUGGUUACAACCUGAGUAUGACUAGGAGUAGAGUUAUUUUGUUGAUUUUGGUGUCGACCUCUUCCGGUAUUGUAGUAAGGAUUUCCUCUAUAAUAACCUCUACCUCUUCUGUAAAAAUUGUGGGAUGCAUAAUUUGCAGAGAUUUCACUAGUUUUAUCUUCUAUGUCACUUUUGUUAAUUAAAAUCUCUUCUUGUAUUAGUAACUCAGUAAGAUUUUUAAAGGUCAAUUGUUUCCCAUGUAGUGUAGACUUGAACAUUCUAUAUUCCGGGGUCAGCCCAUCAAGUACCAUCUCAAUGACCAUAUCAUCAUCUAAACUCUUGUACCCUGCAGCCUUCAAUGAGUAUCUAAGACCUUUAAAUUUUUGUAUGUACUCCUUCAUGGAUAGAUCAGUAGUUUUCCUAAGAGCCUUCAUCUCAUUUCUCAGGGUUUGUAUAUGAGUUGGGUCUGUAGGAGACCACUCUUCCUCAAGCAUUUUCCAUGCUUCUGAUGCAGAAUUACAAGCACAGACAUAUGGUUGAAUAGGGGUAGAGACUGUAGCCUUAAUCUAACCCAAGAUUACCUCAUCUUUAUAGAUGAAUUCUUCAUACUCAUGAGUUGGUAGAGUUCCUUUAACAUAAGGUAGCAAACGAUGCAUUUUAAGUGCUUCUUCAAAUUGACUUCUCCAAACGAGAUAAUUCUCGCUUGUCAUUGGAUUUGGACACAUAGACUGUAUACUAGGUCCUCUCCAUCUAUGAUAUUUUCUAGACUUAGCAUCCUCCUCUGGACUACUAUCACUACUAUAUGUAGACAUCUUUCAACUAUACGGAGAUUAAAAAAAAAUUUACCAAAGAUUAUAAAUUGGAAAAAACAGAAAAGAAAGAUACUAAUUAAUCAGGAAAAAAACAGAUUCUAAAUCGGUUUUUAAACAAAUUUUAAUUCCAAUUUUAAACUUAGAUUCCAAUUUAAAUUCUCUUAAUUGCAGUUAACAAAAAAAUACAAAAAAAACAGAUCACAAUUAAAAAAUAAUAAUGGAAAAUAGCAUGGCACAAUUGAAAAUCAGAUGAUUCAAAAAUAGCAUAUCAUAAAUCGAUCAAAAGAAGAAGAAAAAGAAAAAUCUCAACAAAAAAAAACAGAGAAUUUAAAUGUGAAGAAAAUGAAAAAAACAAAUAAAUCGGCGAUUAAAUCGAAAAUGAAAUCGAGAAAACAAAAUCGAGAAAACGAAAUCGAAAAUAAAAAACGAAAUCAAAAUCGAAACUACUAUCGAAAUCAACGAUAACAAAAUUGAAAUCGCGAUUUCUUUCUCGCGAUAACGAAAUGGAAUCCUCGAAAAUUGCGAAAGAGAAACAAAAUUAAUUGUCAAUGAGAAUCAACAAUCCUCGAAAUUGGAAAUUGAAUCAAGAGUCAAAAACAGAAAUAAUUGACAGUGACAAACGAAUUAAAAAAAAUUGGGAGAAAAAAAAACAUAAAUCAAAUCAAAAACCAGCAAUUGAAUCGGAACAGAAUCGGAAUCGAAAUCGGUAUCCCAAUCCUUGACUUUCUCGCGAUAAUCUCAGUAGUGGGAAUCAACUAAUAUUUUUGAUUUCGGAAAUAUCUGGAAAAAAAAUCGGAAAUCGACGAAGAUGAAAUCAACGAAAUCAGAAAAUAAUCGUCAAAGAAAAUGAAAUCAAGGAAAUGAGAAAUAGCAAGAAUGCAAUUGGACUUGACAGUAAGAAUGCAAUUCAAUGACAACGAAAAUAAUAAUAAAAAAAUAUAAUUGACAAUGACACGUAAAUUGAAAAAUCAUCAGCAAGAAAAUCUUAAAAUCUGAGAGCAAAACAAACAAACAAUCUGAGAGCAAAUCAAAAAAAAAAAACAGAAAUCUUAUGAUACCGACGAGAUCUGGAUGAAAUCAAAAUAUCAAAAAUAAAAUAAAUUACCAGGACAAUCCGUUUACUCCCUUGGAAAAAAAAUCUGAGAAAAAACCGACGAGAUCUAAGAACCGGAGCCAAGUAAGAUAGUGCCCGCGAACAGAAAAGAACCGACGAGAUGUGGCCAAGGAUGUGGCUAGCUCUCGAUACCAUGUAAAGAAUUACAGCGGAGAAGAUUUUAGCGGAGAAUGUCGACAGAGAAGAUAGUCGACGGAAGAGUAUCAAGAACAAGGAGUCGAUGCUUGAAGAAGAAGAAGAAAUUAGGUUAAAAUAAUUGGGGACAAUUAUUUCAAAAAGAAGAGGAAAAAACUUUUCUUGUUAUAAUAUAAAAUAAAACCUUACACUUAUUUAUACAAUUAUAAUUGAUAUAUUUUCAAAUUAUACCCUAUCUAUAUGUUUAACUAUAAGAGUAAAGUUUUACUCUUUAC